AAAUUGAAGAGUUUGAUCAUGGCUCAGAUUGAACGCUGGCGGCAGGCCUAACACAUGCAAGUCGAACGGUAACAGGAAGCAGCUUGCUGCUUUGCUGACGAGUGGCGGACGGGUGAGUAAUGUCUGGGAAACUGCCUGAUGGAGGGGGAUAACUACUGGAAACGGUAGCUAAUACCGCAUAAUGUCGCAAGACCAAAGAGGGGGACCUUCGGGCCUCUUGCCAUCGGAUGUGGAUUAGCUUGUAGGUGGGGUAACGGCUCACCUAGGCGACGAUCCCUAGCUGGUCUGAGAGGAUGACCAGACUGAGACACGGUCCAGACUCCUACGGGAGGCAGCAGUGGGGAAUAUUGCACAAUGGGCGCAAGCCUGAUCGCGUGUAUGAAGAAGGCCUUCGGGUUGUAAAGUACUUUCAGCGGGGAGGAAGGGAGUAAAGUUAAUACCGACGUUACCCGCAGAAGAAGCACCGGCUAACUCCGUGCCAGCAGCCGCGGUAAUACGGAGGGUGCAAGCGUUACUGGGCGUAAAGCGCACGCAGGCGGUUUGUUAAGUCAGAUGUGAAAUCCCCGGGCUCAACCUGGGAACUACUGGCAAGCUUGAGUCUCGUAGAGGGGGGUAGAAUUCCAGGUGUAGCGGUGAAAUGCGUAGAGAUCUGGGUGGCGAAGGCGGCCCCCUGGACGAAGACUGACGCUCAGGUGCGAAAGCGUGGGGAGCAAACAGGAUUUAGUCCACGCCGUAAACGAUGUCGACUUGGAGGUUGUGCCCUUGAGGCGUGGCUUCCGGAGCUAACGCGUUGCCUGGGGAGUACGGCCGCAAGGUUAAAACUCAAAUGAAUUGACGGGGGCCCGCACAAGCGGUGGAGCAUUCGAUGCAACGCGAAGAACCUUACCUGGUCUUGACAUCCACGGAAGUUUUCAGAGAUGAGAAUGUGCCUUCGAGACAGGUGCUGCAUGGCUGUCGUCAGCUCGUGUUGUGAAAUGUUGGGUUAAGUCCCGCAACGAGCGCAAUUUGUUGCCAGCGGUCCGGCCGGGAACUCAAAGGAGACUGCCAGUGAUAAACUGGAGGAAGGUGGGGAUGAUCAUGGCCCUUACGACCAGGGCUACACACGUGCUACAAUGGCGCAUACAAAGAGAAGCGACCUCGCGAGAGCAAGCGGACCUCAUAAAGUGCGUCGUAGUCCGGAUUGGAGUCUGCAACUCGACUCCAUGAAGUCGGAAUCGCUAGUAAUCGAAUGCCACGGUGAAUACGUUCCCGGGCCUUGUACACACCGCCCGUCACACCAUGGGAGUGGGUUGCAAAAGAAGUAGGUAGCUUAACCUUCGGGAGGGCGCUUACCACUUUGUGAUUCAUGACUGGGGUGAAGUCGUAACAAGGUAACCGUAGGGGAAC
This 1386-nucleotide ribosomal RNA is filed under the name Escherichia fergusonii. RNAcentral's name for it is "partial 16S ribosomal RNA". It matches the Rfam family "Bacterial small subunit ribosomal RNA". The record is from RNAcentral. Lineage: Bacteria; Pseudomonadati; Pseudomonadota; Gammaproteobacteria; Enterobacterales; Enterobacteriaceae.